Molecule: regulatory RNA element, 96 nt
Rfam family: Luteovirus cap-independent translation element (BTE)
About the family: This family mediates translation of genomic (gRNA) and subgenomic RNA1 (sgRNA1).
Source: Rfam
AUACUGGAACUCACACUCGAAUCCUGGGAAACAGGCAGUCUUCGGACGUAAGCUCGGGCGGACUUGUCACCCGCCGCCGCAUUGUGUGUGAUGGUA